RNAcentral lists this transfer RNA (85 nucleotides) under Rhipicephalus microplus (southern cattle tick). RNAcentral's name for it is "tRNA-Ser". It matches the Rfam family "tRNA". Rfam says of the family: Transfer RNA (tRNA) molecules are approximately 80 nucleotides in length. Their secondary structure includes four short double-helical elements and three loops (D, anti-codon, and T loops). Further hydrogen bonds mediate the characteristic L-shaped molecular structure. tRNAs have two regions of fundamental functional importance: the anti-codon, which is responsible for specific mRNA codon recognition, and the 3' end, to which the tRNAs corresponding amino acid is attached (by aminoacyl-tRNA synthetases). tRNAs cope with the degeneracy of the genetic code in two manners: having more than one tRNA (with a specific anti-codon) for a particular amino acid; and 'wobble' base-pairing, i.e. permitting non-standard base-pairing at the 3rd anti-codon position. Lineage: Eukaryota; Metazoa; Arthropoda; Arachnida; Ixodida; Ixodidae. The record is from RNAcentral.
GGCGAGGUUGCCGAGUGGCUAAGGCGAUGGAGUGCUAAUCCAUUGGGCGGUGCCCACGUGGGUUCGAGUCCCACCCUCGCGAUCA